AAACAAACAAACAAACAAACAAAACAAACAGUUCAAAAUAUAUGAAGACAUAUAGACUAGCAGGACAAGCCAUGUGCAAUUAGGUUACAGCUUCUAAAAUGAAAAAUGACAUUGUAUGGAUUUCCACGUUUCUCUAGGAAGAAAAAAAGAAGCAAAUAAAAUUAGAACAAAAAUUUUGUAUUACUCACCCAAAGCCACUGUGGACCAAGUGGCAUCAGAGUGGUACAAGCAGCACCUGGAUCCUUAACGCCUAGACUAGGAGAGAAACUUGAAGAGCUUGAAGAAUGUUACCAAGAAUGAAAAAGUUUGAAGAUAGGGGAGUUGGAAGGAAUACCUGGUAGAGGACAUUCUUGAAGGUGUGGAAAUAGAGUCUAGAACACAACUGAAUAAAGAGAGCUCCCCAUUUUGUGAGAUUGGAGGUGAAGAGGGAAAUUUGUGGAAAGAGGAACUUGGCAAGGAUGACCAAGGGGAACCCAGCCCACGGCCACGGACCUGUUAGGAACCGGACUGCAGAGCAGUAGGUGAGUGGCAGAUGGGAACAUCUAGUUGCAGGAAAUCAAGCUCACGGAUCCCACUGAUUCUACAUUAUG
RNAcentral lists this long non-coding RNA (590 nucleotides) under Homo sapiens (human). RNAcentral's name for it is "HSALNT0186120". Lineage: Eukaryota; Metazoa; Chordata; Mammalia; Primates; Hominidae. The record is from RNAcentral.